RNAcentral lists this ribosomal RNA (417 nucleotides) under Triticum aestivum (bread wheat). RNAcentral describes it as "partial small subunit ribosomal RNA". Lineage: Eukaryota; Viridiplantae; Streptophyta; Magnoliopsida; Poales; Poaceae. The record is from RNAcentral.
AAAAAGAGGAGCAAGAAACGAAAAAGAGAUAAAAUUGUGCAAACUGGUUGCAAAGCUAAGAUGGUUGUGAAGCUAAUAGAUGGCAGAUGGGAGGUGAUCUACUUUUUUGGCGAGCACAACCAUCCGUUGGUUGACAAGCCAUGUUUGACUAAGUAUUUGUGAUCACACCAAGGGAUCCCACUAGAAGAAAGGGCCUUCCUUACUCAUCUUCAUAACUAUAAUUUGACUAUAGGUCAUAUGAUGCACAUCAUGUCAGAUUUCUAUGGGUCAGAAGUCAUUGUCCCUUAUACCACUAAGCACAUUACGAACCUCAACACGGUCUUGAACAAGGAUGCUACAAGGGAAGGGGAAAUGAUCAAGACAGUUGCUUUCUUUAAAGAUCAGCAAAAAGAGAAUCCUGAUUGUUUUAUAAGAUAA